AGGACGAACGCUGGCGGCGUGCUUAACACAUGCAAGUCGAGCGGAAAGGCCCUUCGGGGUACUCGAGCGGCGAACGGGUGAGUAACACGUGAGCAAUCUGCCCUUAGCUUCGGGAUAGCUCCGGGAAACCGGAAUUAAUACCGAAUAUGACUUCGGCCGACAUCGGCCUUGGUGGAAAGUUUUUCGGCUAGGGAUGAACUCGCGGCCUAUCAGCUUGUUGGUGGGGUAAUGGCCUACCAAGGCGACGACGGGUAGCCGGCCUGAGAGGGCGACCGGCCACACUGGGACUGAGACACGGCCCAGACUCCUACGGGAGGCAGCAGUGGGGAAUAUUGCGCAAUGGGCGAAAGCCUGACGCAGCGACGCCGCGUGGGGGAUGAAGGCCUUCGGGUUGUAACCCCUUUCAGCAGGGACGAAGCGAAAGUGACGGUACCUGCAGAAGAAGCGCCGGCUAACUACGUGCCAGCAGCCGC
This 473-nucleotide ribosomal RNA is filed under the name uncultured bacterium. Its description in RNAcentral is "SSU rRNA". It matches the Rfam family "Bacterial small subunit ribosomal RNA", at positions 26 to 518 of the family's 1533-position model. The record is from RNAcentral.